This 68-nucleotide transfer RNA is filed under the name Crassvirales sp. RNAcentral's name for it is "tRNA-Asn". The stretch from base 3 to 60 matches the Rfam family "tRNA", at positions 8 to 63 of the family's 71-position model. From Rfam's summary of the family: Transfer RNA (tRNA) molecules are approximately 80 nucleotides in length. The record is from RNAcentral. Lineage: Duplodnaviria; Heunggongvirae; Uroviricota; Caudoviricetes; Crassvirales.
AUUAGCUCAAUGGUUAGAGCAGUGGACUGUUAAUCCAAAGGUUCUAGGUUCAAGUCCUACCACCCAUA